Molecule: ribosomal RNA, 163 nt
Filed under: Blumea virens
Lineage: Eukaryota; Viridiplantae; Streptophyta; Magnoliopsida; Asterales; Asteraceae
Description: 5.8S ribosomal RNA
Rfam family: 5.8S ribosomal RNA
About the family: 5.8S ribosomal RNA (5.8S rRNA) is a component of the large subunit of the eukaryotic ribosome.
Source: RNAcentral
AGAACGACUCUCGGCAACGGAUAUCUCGGCUCACGCAUCGAUGAAGAACGUAGCAAAAUGCGAUACUUGGUGUGAAUUGCAGAAUCCCGUGAACCAUCGAGUUUUUGAACGCAAGUUGCGCCCGAAGCCAUUUGGUUUAGGGCACAUCUGCCUGGGCGUCACG